This 453-nucleotide ribosomal RNA is filed under the name Triticum aestivum (bread wheat). Its description in RNAcentral is "partial small subunit ribosomal RNA". The record is from RNAcentral. Lineage: Eukaryota; Viridiplantae; Streptophyta; Magnoliopsida; Poales; Poaceae.
AUGGGACAUUUGUACAAUCCACAUAUGAAGAUAAGGAAGAAAGAGAUGUUUAUUUGCUGUCCAAAAAGUUCUCUCACGUCACUUUUGGCCCAAGAGAAGAUAGAGUCCAAGUCUCUCACGUUCUGGAUUCAGAUUCGGACUGCACAGACACACCUGACUCAAAACACACACAAGUUUUUCAUACGGACUCCGAAUUGGGUGAUUCUUUUUUUGUUGGAAACUAGAUUUCGUGCACUUUCCAACCCAAUUGGAAUCACCUUCAAAUUCGUCCGGAGCGUUGAGUUGUGGACGAAACAAUCUGAUGCUGCAGCAGAAUUCGAGUCAAACUACAAGUCCAAAGGUGUUACAUCACCUCCACUUGGGCCCAUUGGCCUUGUACGACCUAGAUUUAGUUUUAGGCUGCCUUGGGACGUCCUCCCACCUCCUUGGCCGCCACCCCUUGCUCCUAUAUAA